Bos taurus (domestic cattle) is the source of this 785-nucleotide long non-coding RNA. Lineage: Eukaryota; Metazoa; Chordata; Mammalia; Artiodactyla; Bovidae. The record is from Ensembl.
GUUGGCAUAUUCUGUAUGAUGCAACACGCAGCAAAUUAUAUAGACAAGGCAACAUCACAGGGUCAGGCACUCACCUCCGUGGCUGAGGGUUUCCUGGCAGUCUUUCCCCCUCCCCAGCUCUUGCCUACACUAGCUUAAUAAUCAGUUUGCAUCAUUUUAAGUAUGAGAACUGCGAGGAAAUCCUUAAUUUGAAAUUUAGCCAAAAUGUGGUUUCUGUAUUAAAAGAGACUUUCUUCACAGGAGCAUUGCAAGAACAAAGGUGAACUUCCCUUUACAUCCAAGAAUAUUUGGGAAGUGAUUUAAACUGAAUGAGAAGUUAGCUCUACUUACUUACCUGGAGGAAAUGAGAAUGGAAGGGAUGUUAGCUGACUUGUUCAGAGACACAGUUGAGCACAGGCUCCAGGGCAUGAGGGCUCAGCAGUUGUGGCAUAUGAGUCUAGUUACCCCAUGGCAUGUGGAAUCUUCCCAGACCACGGAUCAAACCCAUGUCCCCUGCUUUGGCAGGUGGAUUCUUAACCACUGGAACACCAGAGUGCCUCGGAAUCACCUGGAAGGCUUGUUAAAACACAGGUUGCAGAAAUUCCUUCCUCUCUGACUGCUUGGGAACUGAAACAUCAGCUUUCCCCUGUCUUUGGACUUAAACGGAAACAUUGGCUCUUCCUGGGUCAUGAGCCUGCCAAUCUUUGGACAGGAACUCCAUCAUCAGCUCUCCUGGGUCUCUAGCUUGCUGACUCACUCUGCAGAUCUUGGGACUUGUUGGUCUCUGUAAUGACAUGAGCCAAUGU